GUGGGUAGGGGAGAAAUUCCAAUCGAACCCGGAGAUAGCUGGUUCUCCUCGAAAUAGCUUUAGGGCUAGCCUCAUUUUAGUCUUAUGGAGGUAGAGCACUGAAUUUCCGCGGGGGCGUCAAAGCUUACCAAAGAAUAUCAAACUCCGAAUGCCAUGUAGAUGAUGAAUGGGAGUCAGACUGCACGAGAUAAGUUGGGCAGUCAAAAGGGAAAGAGCCCAGACCACCAGCUAAGGUCCCAAAGUGUGUGUUAAGUGGAAAAGGAUGUGGGAUUUCAAAGACAACUAGGAUGUUGGCUCAGAAGCAGCCACACAUUCAAAGAGUGCGUAACAGCUCACUAGUCGAGAGGUCCUGCGCCGAAAAUGUCCGGGGCUAAAACACAACACCGAAGCUGUGGAAUCACGUAAGUGAUUGGUAGAGGAGCAUUCUUAAGACCGACGAAGCUGUACCGGAAGGAGCAGUGGAGGGAUAAGAAGAGAGAAUGCCGGAAUGAGUAGCGAGAGAGAGGUGAGAAUCCUCUCGGCCGAAUAUCCAAGGUUUCCAGAGUAAAGCUGAUCUGCUCUGGGUAAGUCGGGGCCUAAGGAGAGGUCGAAAGACGUAUCCGAUGGACAACAGGUUUAGAUUCCUGUACCACAUAUAAACAGAACUGUGGGGACGCAUGUGGAAAGCAUAAGCCGGGAAUGGAAAUACCGGUACAAACGGAAGAGGUGUCAGGCUGGCAAAUCCGCCUGGCAAGCCAAAGACGUGAUGUGGAGCGAAAUAAAAGUAGCGAAGUAUGUGAGCCAUGUGCCGAGAAAAGCCGCUAUUGUUUUAUAUGUGCCCGUACCGUAAACCGACACAGGUGGAUGAGGAGAGAAUCCUAAGGCCGACGGAAGAAGCAUUGUUAAGGAACUCGGCAAAAUGACCCCGUAACUUCGGGAGAAGGGGUGCCCACUUCAGGGUGGGCCGCAGAGAAUAGGCUCAAGCAACUGUUUAGCAAAAACACAGGUCUAUGCGAAACCGUAAGGUGAAGUAUAUGGGCUGACGCCUGCCCGGUGCUGGAAGGUUAAGAGGAGAGGUUAGUCGCAAGAUGAAGCUUUGAAUUUAAGCCCCAGUAAACGGCGGCCGUAACUAUAACGGUCCUAAGGUAGCGAAAUUCCUUGUCGGGUAAGUUCCGACCCGCACGAAAGGCGUAAUGAUUUGAGCACUGUCUCGACAAUGCAUCCGGUGAAAUUGAAGUACCAGUGAAGAUGCUGGUUACCCGCGCCAGGAC
This 1250-nucleotide ribosomal RNA is filed under the name human gut metagenome. Its description in RNAcentral is "bacterial LSU rRNA". It matches the Rfam family "Bacterial large subunit ribosomal RNA", at positions 811 to 2081 of the family's 2925-position model. The record is from RNAcentral.